CUCAUCUUCUCCACACGGUUUUCCUUUCUUCCGAUAUCUGAGUCAGGUUGACCUCCACUCGGCUGUCCAUCUUACUUGGCGUGUUAUUCCGUACGGAACUGGUUUGCUUUCCCAUAUAUCCAAAGGCUUACCGGUCAUUUAGGGGGAGACAAGAAGAGUGGGGCACACCAGUAGACCAGUACUUGGACACGCUAUUCUAGCCUCUGGUCAGUAUGCAAUUUUGUCUCGUGAUCGACGCUUUCAACAAAGUUUGUUCCUUAAAAAUUCAUUCGGACUCGUCUUCAAACACGAAGAGAUCCGAACGAAAAGGAGAUGCUAAAGAAGGAUUCCACCAAGGUUGAAAUUUUCGUGCUGCUUGGAAGUAGUUUUGAAGAUGACGUAAGGGGAUGAAACGAAGAAAUAAUGAUGGAAAGUUGGAGCGUUGAGAGACAGAGGAAGGUGCAGAGAAGAAGUAGAAA
RNAcentral lists this long non-coding RNA (458 nucleotides) under Polistes fuscatus (common paper wasp). RNAcentral describes it as "uncharacterized LOC122518246". The record is from RNAcentral. Lineage: Eukaryota; Metazoa; Arthropoda; Insecta; Hymenoptera; Vespidae.